UACGUAGGUGGCGAGCGUUGUCCGGAAUUACUGGGCGUAAAGGGUGCGUAGGCGGAUAUUUAAGUCAGAUGUGAAAUCCCUAAGCUCAACUUAGGAAUAGCAUUUGAAACUGGGUAUCUGGAGUGCAGGAGAGGGAAGCGGAAUUCCUAGUGUAGCGGUGAAAUGCGUAGAUAUUAGGAAGAACACCAGUGGCGAAGGCGGCUUCCUGGACUGUAACUGACGCUGAGGCACGAAAGCGUGGGGAG
This 245-nucleotide ribosomal RNA is filed under the name uncultured Eubacteriales bacterium. RNAcentral's name for it is "uncultured Clostridiales bacterium partial 16S ribosomal RNA". It matches the Rfam family "Bacterial small subunit ribosomal RNA", at positions 524 to 768 of the family's 1533-position model. The record is from RNAcentral. Lineage: Bacteria; Bacillati; Bacillota; Clostridia; Eubacteriales.